RNAcentral lists this ribosomal RNA (253 nucleotides) under uncultured bacterium. RNAcentral describes it as "partial 16S ribosomal RNA". It matches the Rfam family "Bacterial small subunit ribosomal RNA", at positions 524 to 776 of the family's 1533-position model. The record is from RNAcentral.
UACGUAGGAUGCAAGCGUUGUCCGGAAUCACUGGGCGUAAAGGGCGCGUAGGCGGCUCAUGAAGGCUGUGGUGAAAGUCCGGGGCUCAACCUCGGAUCGGCCGUGGCGACUCGUGGGCUGGAGCACUGUAGAGGCGGGUGGAAUUCCGGGUGUAGCGGUGGAAUGCGUAGAGAUCCGGAAGAACACCAGUGGCGAAGGCGGCCCGCUGGGCAGUGGCUGACGCUGAGGCGCGACAGCGUGGGGAGCAAACAGG